RNAcentral lists this microRNA precursor (63 nucleotides) under Heliconius melpomene (postman butterfly). RNAcentral's name for it is "Hme-Mir-317_pre stem-loop". Lineage: Eukaryota; Metazoa; Arthropoda; Insecta; Lepidoptera; Nymphalidae. The record is from RNAcentral.
CGGGUGCCACGCUGUGCUCUCUCGGUGUUACUGGUGAGUGAACACAGCUGGUGGUAUCUCAGU